Pan troglodytes (chimpanzee) is the source of this 2345-nucleotide long non-coding RNA. The record is from Ensembl. NCBI's taxonomy places the organism in Eukaryota, Metazoa, Chordata, Mammalia, Primates, Hominidae.
GAUGCUGUUGGGAAACCCUGAUCUAAAGAAACAUCAGGCCGGGCGCGGUGGCUCACGCCUGUAUGGGAGGUCGAGGCGGGUGGAUCACGAGGUCAGGAGAUCGAGACCACGGUGAAACCCCGUCUCUACUAAAAAUACAAAAAAAUUUAGCCGGGCGCGGUGGCGGGCGCCUGUAGCCCCAGCUACUCGGGAGGCUGAGCCAGGAGAAUGGCGUGAACCCGGGAGGCAGAGCUUGCAAUGAGCCGAGAUCGCGCCACGGCACUCCAGCCUGGGCAACAGAGCGAGACUCCAUCUUAAAAAAAAAAAAAAAGAAACAUCAGUGGAAGAGGAAGAAACUGCAGGUACAGGAAUAAACUUACGUGAUCCUCAUUUCAAGGAGAAGAAGGAGAAGUUGAAGAAGGAGGAGAAGGAGAAGGAUGAGAAGAAAAACAAGAAGAGGAAGGAGAAGGAGGAGGAAAAUGAGAAGGAGAAGAAGAGAAGGAACAGCAGCAGUUGCAGGAGGAGGAGAAAGAGGAGGAGGAGGAGAACAGAGUGUGCAGAAGCUGGGGGGGAUUCCAAUGUUGGAAGCAUUUUUAGCAUACAACAACAUCCAAGUGGAUUACGAUGAAUGCCUAGACCUCUAUGGCAAACAGUCUCUUCGUGGCCUGUGCUGAGGACUACAUCAGUCUCCUGCAAUUAUCAUCUACACUGAAAAACAAAGAGGACAGAGGCAAAGCUAGUGGCCCUCACCAUCCCCUGCAAGCUGAUUGCUUCUUACUGCAAGCACUUGAGCAUCUUCCUGAGAGCUUUCUUGGGCAAUGGGAACCAGGCUUGGCCCAUUCACAGGCAGGUGAGAAGUAUGAGGAAAUGGAGAAGGCAUUGUCCAAGGAGCAGUCUUCAACCUUCGCCCCGCAAGUGAGACAACUCUGAAUAAGAUGUGUUCUACACUCUCUUCCAAAGGUCCCCAGUUGGAUGGAGCUCUAGCUGCUCAUGUGAUAAGCUGCCUAUUAAUACACAAAAGAUUGCCUUUCCUCCUUGCUCUGUCUUCCUGCUGCUCUCCUACUAAUGUUUCCUGGGAUUGCCUCCAAAUAAACCACUUGAACUCACAUAUUAGUGUUAUUGUCAGUUGGAAGAUUUUAGUGUUUUAGAUAUAUAGGAGCUCUUCUGCUUUUAAGAUUGCCAAUUUCUUCUUUCUUCAGAGCAGUAUUCAUACCUGGCCCGUAUUAUUUUUUUCUGGAAGUAUUUUAUUAUUGCUUAAAAAUACCAGGAAGAUUACCAUGAAAACUGUACAUUUAUAAUUUAAGGAUGGAAUCUUCAUGUAGUUUCUUAAACCUCAGAGGUGAAGGUAUUACAUAUUCCAGAAAUUCAGGAAACUUUCUGUGUUAUAGAAUAGCAGGAUAUUGAAACCUACAUUCUCUGGUUAGGAGAAUGCCUACAUGAUUUUUAAAUAAUUGGUCUAUGGGCUGCCCAUGGUGGCUCACAUCUGUAAUCCCAGCACUUUGGGAGGCCGAGGCAGGUAGAUCACUUGAGGCCAGGAGUUCGAGACCAGCCUGGGAAACAUGGUGAAAUGCCGUCUCUACUAAAAAUACACAAAUUAGCUGGGUGUGAGGGUGUGUCCCUGUAAUCCCAGCUACUUGGGAGGCUGAGGCACAAGAAUUGCUCAAACCUGGUAUGCGGAGGUUGCAGUGAGCCAAGAUUGCACCACUGCACUCCAGCCUGGCUGACAGAGUGAGACCCUGUCUCAAAAAAAAAAAAAAAAAAAAAAGAAUUGGUCUGUGAAUAGUGAUAGCAAACAUAGCAUAUUUUUCUUAUUCAAAGAAAUAAUUAUUGAGAUCCUAUUAUGUAUAUGUUUUGUAAACUGGUCCCCUAUGCAUGGUGGGGCCCCACUUAAGCUCAGGACUAGAUACUUACCAAAUCCUGGAGAAGGGCCUGCUUGCUUCUAAGUUUCCUUGCUUUGUGGAAUUUAAAGUGAUUGUCAUACCCAAGUAAGAGAUGCUUAGGGGGUGAGGAGAGGAUUAAUACAGAGGCUAAGUUCUUAUUCAAAUGCAGCUCAGUUUUAGAUCUCAUUUUAUGGCCAUCAUCCCAUACAGAUUUGCCAAGAAGCAUUCCAAAAUGAUUCUUGACAAUUAGCUAUCAAAUAGAAAAAGAAAUAAGAUACUUGGCCGGGCGCGGUGGCUCAUGCCUGUAAUCCCAACACUUUGGGAGGCUGAGGUGGGAGGAUCAUGAGGUCAGGAGGUCGAGACUGGCACCACAGAAGUCAUUUCUCUAGUUUAUCCCUUCAGAAGUGGCUUACAUGGUAUAAGGCACUGCAAAAAUAAAUAAAUAUUUGUGGCUAGUACCAUAAUAGCAUAUCCCCUGUGAUGAGG